CGUAGGAGGCAAGCGUUAUCCGGAGUUACUGGGCGUAAAGCGCGUGUAGGCGGGUGGAUAAGUGGUUCGUGAAAUAUCCAGGCUAAACCUGGGGAGGACGAAUCAGACUGUUCAUCUGGAGGCGGGUAGAGGGGUGCGGAAUUCCGGGUGUAGCGGUGAAAUGUGUAGAUAUCCGGAGGAACACCAGAGGUGCAGACGGCGCCCUGGGCCCGACCUGACGCUGAGACGCGAAAGCUUGGGGAGCGAACGGGAUUAGAGACCCCGGUAGUCCAAGCCGUAAACGAUGUCAACUAGGUGUCCACUUGGCUACGGUCAAGGGGGCGCCGAAGCUAACGCGAUAAGUUGACCGCCUGGGGAGUACGGUCGCAAGAUUA
This 374-nucleotide ribosomal RNA is filed under the name uncultured organism. RNAcentral describes it as "bacterial SSU rRNA". It matches the Rfam family "Bacterial small subunit ribosomal RNA", at positions 526 to 896 of the family's 1533-position model. The record is from RNAcentral.